UACGGGGGGGAGCAAGCGUUUGUUCGGAUUUACUGGGCGUAAAGGGCGCGUAGGCGGUCGUGACAAGUCACUUGUGAAAUCUCCGGGCUUAACUCGGAACGGUCAAGUGAUACUGUCGGACUAGAGUACAGAAGGGGCAACUGGAAUUCUCGGUGUAGCGGUGAAAUGCGUAGAGAUUGGAAAGAACACCGAUGGCGAAGGCACUUUACUGGGCUAUUACUAACACUCAGAGACGAAAGCUAGGGUAGCAAAUGGG
This 256-nucleotide ribosomal RNA is filed under the name uncultured bacterium. RNAcentral describes it as "partial 16S ribosomal RNA". It matches the Rfam family "Bacterial small subunit ribosomal RNA", at positions 524 to 776 of the family's 1533-position model. The record is from RNAcentral.